This 478-nucleotide ribosomal RNA is filed under the name uncultured bacterium. RNAcentral describes it as "partial 16S ribosomal RNA". It matches the Rfam family "Bacterial small subunit ribosomal RNA", at positions 28 to 523 of the family's 1533-position model. The record is from RNAcentral.
GACGAACGCUGGCGGCAUGCCUAACACAUGCAAGUCGAGCGAGCAGAUCCCUUCGGGGUGAAGCUAGCGGCGGACGGGUGAGUAACACGUGGGCAACCUGCCUCAUAGAGGGGAAUAGCCUUCCGAAAGGAAGAUUAAUACCGCAUAAGAUUGUGGCUUCGCAUGAAGCAGCAAUUAAAGGAGCAAUCCGCUAUGAGAUGGGCCCGCGGCGCAUUAGCUAGUUGGUGAGGUAACGGCUCACCAAGGCGACGAUGCGUAGCCGACCUGAGAGGGUGAGCGGCCACAUUGGGACGGAGACACGGCCCAGACUCUUACGGGAGGCAGCAGUGGGGAAUAUUGCACAAUGGGGGAAACCCUGAUGCAGCAAUGCCGCGUGAGUGAUGACGGCCUUCGGGUUGUAAAGCUCUGUCUUCGGGGACGAUAAUGACGGUACCCGAGGAGGAAGCCACGGCUACCUACGUGCCAGCCGCCGCGGUAA